ACAUGCAAGUCGAACGGUGAAGGCGGAGCUUGCUCUGCCGGAUCAGUGGCGAACGGGUGAGUAACACGUGGGCAACCUGCCCUUCACUCGUGGGACUAACCCCGGGAAACCGGGGCUAAUACCGGAUACCGACCCCUGCAGGCAUCUGCGGGGGUGGAAAGUUUUCGGUGAAGGGUGGGCCCGCGGCCUAUCAGCUUGUUGGUGAGGUAAUGGCUCACCAAGGCAACGACGGGUAGCCGGCCUGAGAGGGCGACCGGCCACACUGGGACUGAGACACGGCCCAGACUCC
This 289-nucleotide ribosomal RNA is filed under the name uncultured bacterium. RNAcentral's name for it is "partial 16S ribosomal RNA". It matches the Rfam family "Bacterial small subunit ribosomal RNA", at positions 53 to 339 of the family's 1533-position model. The record is from RNAcentral.